This 1458-nucleotide long non-coding RNA is filed under the name Homo sapiens (human). RNAcentral's name for it is "HSALNT0330287". Lineage: Eukaryota; Metazoa; Chordata; Mammalia; Primates; Hominidae. The record is from RNAcentral.
GAAUAUUUUCAGCAUCCAGAGGAAAGAUAAUUCUGAUGCUGAGUAGUAUGAAAUAUUUGUAUUCACUUAAAGUGGAAAGACAAUCUGCACACCUGGAGGAGAUAUUUGCAACAUUUACAACUGGCAAAGGUUUAUUACCAAGAAUAUAUAAAGAAGUCUUAUAAAUCAACAAGAAAGAAGAAAAACAACAGAAAGAAAUGGACAAAAGAAAAAGCAUUUUAUAAAAGAAGAAAUGCUCAUGGCCAGCAAACAUAUGGAGAUGUUCAAACUCAUGUGAAAUGUAAAUCAAGACCCAAUAAGAUAAGCUUUUAUGUCCACUAAAAUGGCAAAAUGUUAAUAGCUAGACAAUCCAAGUAUUGGAGAACAUACAGAUCCAUGGGAUCUCUUACAUAUCGCUUAUAAGGGUACGCAUUAGGACAUAGGACACUCACUUAGAAAAAGUGUGGCAUUAUCUUGCAAAAUCAAACACUCACAUAGGCUGCUGUGCAGGUCCUGAGUCUGUUUGCCCUCAGAUCCACUCUUUGCUAUGCCCUUAUGUCCUCAGUUUUCCAGCAGGAUCUCGGCAGCCAUGUCAUCUUGCUUCCAGUUGGGCUCAGUUAAUAAAAGAGAGAGAAUGGAAGGUGGAAAGAAGGGAGAAGCCAAGGUGUUUCUCACCAGCACCCUCCCCUUCUCCUCUCAGGUAACAUCCCCUGUGGUGGCCACAGCUCUCCGAUGGGUCCAGUUCCCACAGGAAAGCCAGCCAUGAUUCUAACUUCUACCAGGUGACCCUGGCCCUGGGCUCUGGUGACACUAACCUUUUGUUUCUCUAGUCCUGGGGAGGGGUAGUAACAGCUUCCUGCUAUUAUUAAUUUAUGGAUUGCCUCAUUGCCUCCUGUGAGGCUUCUCAGCUAUUGAUUACCAUACUACUCAGCAAUAAAAAGGAAAAAACUAUUGAUACAUGCAACAACUUUGUCGGACCACAAGAGAAUUUUACCAACUAAAAAAGCCAGUCUCACAUUGUUACAUACUAUAUGAUUCCACUUACAUAACCUUCUAGAAAUGACAAAAUUAUUGAGGUGAAGAACAGAUUAGUGGUUGCCAAGGGUUAAAGACAGGGUUGGGGUUGGAGAAAGAAAUCAGUGUACCUAAAAAGAAGCAGCCAGAGGGAUCUUUGUGGUGACGGGACAGUUCUGUAUCUUGAUUGUGGUGGUGGUUAUACAAAUCUACGUGUAAUAAAGUUUUAUGUGUGCAUAGAACUAUGUACAUACUCAAACAAAUGCAUGUAACCCUGGUGAAAUCUGAAUAAGGUCUGUGGAUUGUGCCAAUACCAGUGACCUGGUUUUGAUACUGUAUUAUAGCUAUCUAAGACAUUAUUAUCAGGAGAAAAUGGGGGAAAGGUACAUGUACUUUUCUGUACUAUUUUUGCAACUUCUCGUGAAUCUGUUACUAUUUCAAAAUUAAAAGUAUCUGAAAAUCCAU